UAAUACAUGCAAGUCGAACGAGUUCUCGUUGAUGAUCGGUGCUUGCACCGAGAUUCAACAUGGAACGAGUGGCGGACGGGUGAGUAACACGUGGGUAACCUGCCCUUAAGUGGGGGAUAACAUUUGGAAACAGAUGCUAAUACCGCAUAGAUCCAAGAACCGCAUGGUUCUUGGCUGAAAGAUGGCGUAAGCUAUCGCUUUUGGAUGGACCCGCGGCGUAUUAGCUAGUUGGUGAGGUAAUGGCUCACCAAGGCGAUGAUACGUAGCCGAACUGAGAGGUUGAUCGGCCACAUUGGGACUGAGACACGGCCCAAACUCCUACGGGAGGCAGCAGUAGGGAAUCUUCCACAAUGGACGCAAGUCUGAUGGAGCAACGCCGCGUGAGUGAAGAAGGCUUUCGGGUCGUAAAACUCUGUUGUUGGAGAAGAAUGGUCGGCAGAGUAACUGUUGUCGGCGUGACGGUAUCCAACCAGAAAGCCACGGCUAACUACGUGCCAGCAGCCGCGGUAAUACGUAGGUGGCAAGCGUUAUCCGGAUUUAUUGGGCGUAAAGCGAGCGCAGGCGGUUUUUUAAGUCUGAUGUGAAAGCCCUCGGCUUAACCGAGGAAGCGCAUCGGAAACUGGGAAACUUGAGUGCAGAAGAGGACAGUGGAACUCCAUGUGUAGCGGUGAAAUGCGUAGAUAUAUGGAAGAACACCAGUGGCGAAGGCGGCUGUCUGGUCUGUAACUGACGCUGAGGCUC
Molecule: ribosomal RNA, 741 nt
Filed under: Lactobacillus casei group sp.
Lineage: Bacteria; Bacillati; Bacillota; Bacilli; Lactobacillales; Lactobacillaceae
Description: bacterial SSU rRNA
Rfam family: Bacterial small subunit ribosomal RNA
Source: RNAcentral